This 188-nucleotide ribosomal RNA is filed under the name Pectobacterium brasiliense. Its description in RNAcentral is "Pectobacterium carotovorum subsp. brasiliense partial 16S ribosomal RNA". It matches the Rfam family "Bacterial small subunit ribosomal RNA", at positions 1 to 179 of the family's 1533-position model. Lineage: Bacteria; Pseudomonadati; Pseudomonadota; Gammaproteobacteria; Enterobacterales; Pectobacteriaceae. The record is from RNAcentral.
CUUAAAUUGAAGAGUUUGAUCAUGGCUCAGAUUGAACGCUGGCGGCAGGCCUAACACAUGCAAGUCGAGCGGUAGCACGGGGGAGCUUGCUCCCUGGGUGACGAGCGGCGGACGGGUGAGUAAUGUCUGGGAAACUGCCUGAUGGAGGGGGAUAACUACUGGAAACGGUAGCUAAUACCGCAUAACCU